GAUGAACGCUGGCGGCGUGCCUAAUACAUGCAAGUCGAGCGAACGGACGAGAAGCUUGCUUCUCUGAUGUUAGCGGCGGACGGGUGAGUAACACGUGGAUAACCUACCUAUAAGACUGGGAUAACUUCGGGAAACCGGAGCUAAUACCGGAUAAUAUUUUGAACCGCAUGGUUCAAAAGUGAAAGACGGUCUUGCUGUCACUUAUAGAUGGAUCCGCGCUGCAUUAGCUAGUUGGUAAGGUAACGGCUUACCAAGGCAACGAUGCAUAGCCGACCUGAGAGGGUGAUCGGCCACACUGGAACUGAGACACGGUCCAGACUCCUACGGGAGGCAGCAGUAGGGAAUCUUCCGCAAUGGGCGAAAGCCUGACGGAGCAACGCCGCGUGAGUGAUGAAGGUCUUCGGAUCGUAAAACUCUGUUAUUAGGGAAGAACAUAUGUGUAAGUAACUGUGGACAUCUUGACGGUACCUAAUCAGAAAGCCACGGCUAACUACGUG
This 497-nucleotide ribosomal RNA is filed under the name uncultured bacterium. RNAcentral's name for it is "partial 16S ribosomal RNA". It matches the Rfam family "Bacterial small subunit ribosomal RNA", at positions 28 to 507 of the family's 1533-position model. The record is from RNAcentral.